AAGAUAAAGGAUUUGGUGAAAUAAGAUAAAUAUACAUAUACAUAUAUAUAUAUUUAUAUAUACACAUACAUAUAUAUAUAUAUAUGUGUGUGUGUGUGUAUAUGUAAAGGAAGAUAAAUCAGGGAAGAGCUUGGAAAGUAAGGGAUGGUGGUGGGGGGUUAGUCUCGAAGCGUGCGUUGGUUAGUAGAAAGCUACGCGUCAGAGCUCAGUUCGUUUGCGACGCUCGUGUCGUUCGCGUCUCUCUCUCUCUUUCUCUCUCUUUUUCUCUCGUGUAUUAUUUAUUAACUAUUUGAAAUUUCGUGAUCGUAUAAAAACGUGUCCAAUGAUUAUUCAGACAGUUGAAGACGUACUUCUAAUGUAAACAAACAAGUAUUUACGUCGAAUGUGUAUAAUUUUGGUGACACGAACGAUCAUUUCAUUUGAUCGAUUCUCGCGGACACCGUGGGAAAUGUUCGAAGGUGAGAAGAAGGAUCGAAGAAGUAAGAACGAAGUGCAGCCGGUGAUCGAGGAUCAACGUGGAUCUAUGUGGAUAGGACGAGAUCGAGGAAGAAGACGAGAAUAUAGAAAAUAGAUAGACGAAUAAAAAGAGAAACGGAGCUAACGAAGAGAAAAGAGAGAUAUUAUAGAUAGACUGAGAGAAAACAUAGGAUAUUUUUUAUCUGUUUCUUUCUUUCUUUCUUCCUUUCUUCCUUUUUUUUCCUUCCUUCGUUUU
Long non-coding RNA from Vespa velutina, 712 nucleotides. RefSeq lists it as uncharacterized. NCBI's taxonomy places the organism in Eukaryota, Metazoa, Arthropoda, Insecta, Hymenoptera, Vespidae. The transcript is spliced from 3 exons. The record is from RefSeq and is a predicted model, not a curated record.